UAAGGAAUAUUGGUCAAUGGAGGCAACUCUGAACCAGCCAUGCCGCGUGCAGGAUGAAGGCCCUAUGGGUCGUAAACUGCUUUUGUACGGGAAGAAACCCCUUUACGUGUAAAGGGUUGACGGUACCGUAAGAAUAAGGAUCGGCUAACUUCGUGCCAGCAGCCGCGGUAAUACGAAGGAUCCAAGCGUUAUCCGGAUUUAUUGGGUUUAAAGGGUGCGUAGGCGGCUUAUUAAGUCAGUGGUGAAAGCCUGCAGCUUAACUGCAGAACUGCCAUUGAUACUGAUGAGCUUGAGUAUAGUUGAGGUGGGCGGAAUGUGUCAUGUAGCGGUGAAAUGCUUAGAUAUGACACAGAACACCGAUUGCGAAGGCAGCUCGCUAAACUAUAACUGACGCUGAGGCACGAAAGCGUGGGGAGCGAACAGG
This 424-nucleotide ribosomal RNA is filed under the name uncultured bacterium. RNAcentral describes it as "bacterial SSU rRNA". It matches the Rfam family "Bacterial small subunit ribosomal RNA", at positions 355 to 776 of the family's 1533-position model. The record is from RNAcentral.